GAUCGCUUAGACCUGAUGUAACACUUGUGAUUCUCCCCUUUGAAACUUCAAACUCCAGUUUGUGAACAAAGUCCUGUCUAUCUUCUGAAUAGGAAUCUCCGACCACUGACCAAACUCCAUUUGCAACCACUGCCUAUUUGUACCUUCUCCUCAAUGACUACAUUUCAUUUCCCCAAGUCCGAUCUCAAAGGCAGUGCAGCAGGGAAGCAACACAGUAAAAUCAAAAUACAGGAACCAGCAGCUGGAUGGGAAAGGUGAUUAUGGUGGCCUGGAAGAGUUAACAAGACGUGGAAUAUACUGUCUGGGGACUUAUUUUGUUUCUUUCUAAGAGAGCUACAUCACAGAGGACAUGUUAAUGUUUGUAAAGCACAUCCCGGAGCGUGUUGAUAAGAGUGAAACAUAAGGAGACAAUGUGCUGGCUACAGCAGAUUUGAGGGCAGCAGAAAAAAGGCUGCUGCUCUGCUCUCCUGCAGUAGAUGGAGGAGAUAGGAUGAUCAUGGGAUGUGAAAGCUCCAGAACAGCCAUGAAGGCGGUGUGUUUUAAGGAGCCAGGCCUGCCUCUCGGUGCCCCGCUGUCAAGUCAUUCAGCUUUGUAGAUUAAACAGAUAUCCGCUGAGGAGCUGCUGAACGGCUGCUGUCAUGUUUACAUUCACCAAGUGAUUCUGCCAACAGUAGGUUGUGACCGUUGGGCAAUUAAUCCCAUGUGUCUGACACAAAUUUAUGUGUGCUGUGUGAGCUAUACUGUAAGCUAAAAUCAAGGUUUAUCAACUUGCCUCAGUAGUUGAGUCUAGAGGAAUCAAAAGGCUGCAACCUGGUGAAUUGUAGGUCAGAUUUUGUAGAAAAUUACGCAAAACUUAACACUCUUGCCAUUACGCAUCAUGUUAAAACUGGCAGCUGUAAUCUGCUGGUGAAUACAACAAAUUUCUAAUGCUAGCUAGAGACACAACGUCAGCACAUUUCCUUUCAGUUUGUUUGGACAAAGAAGCAUAGUAUAACCCGAUCUAGGCCAAAAAGAAGCUUAGUGUAGGCAGUUGCCAAAGAAUGCAAACUUAAAUGUCCUAGUUUUGGAAGAUUUGGUGAGCCUAUACUGUAGGGGGUAAACAAAUCCUUUCAGAAUAUGUUGCUGUUCAAAAACAGAGCAACUCAAUCAUUUGUGAUACUAUUUUCUGGUCAUGGAUCAAAGAGGUGGCUACACAGUGACCAAUGCAAUCAUCACUGUUUUUUAAAAUCAGGGGAAUAUGACAACGAAAAUGUAACAUUUUUUGACCCAUACAAUGAAUACAGUCAAAAUAACAUAGUGUAGAAACUGGAUCCUCUAUCAUGUCGUUUAAAGCAUUAAUCUCAUAAAGACAAAAACAACAAAAUGUUGGUCCUCCUGUAAGUACUUUCUGACUAAAUCUUUGAAAACACGUCAUGAAUAUAUACUUUGACCUUUAAAAAAGGCUCAAUAAUUUCCUAAAACAUCUGAAGUUUUGUAAGCUAACAUGAGUAAAUAGGAUGUUUCUAGGGGAUUUUUUUUUAGUGGCAGACUAUAGUAUUUACAACAGCAGGAUGAUGUAUGUGGGAUUGAGUCAGAAUAAACUACAGUGUCUAUGUUCAGCAUUAUAAAGGACAUUCAACAGAUUGUUUUUGGGCAAAAAUUGAGCUCCACAAUUCCAUUAGAAUAAUAAUAAGGAGGAAAAUAUAGACAGGCUUUAGGUAAAAGACAAUGCUUGUUAGUAGAGUCAGUUCAUUGUUGGUUUUAGGUUUUAAUGGGAUUUGUUGAAAAAAAGAAAAAAUAUCACCAGACAUGUCCUCUAAAAGCAAGAUUGGUGCUAAUCAUUAACUGUCGCUUCGCCUCUUUGCAUAAUUGUGGAGAUUGUGCCUCUGAUGGUACUGUAUAUAAAAAUCUGUAUAUAAACAUUCAGUAGCUGUCAUAUGUGACUAGUGGGACUAAUGCCAAAAUCAGCAGAUCUGUGUGUGGUGGCUCAUGUCUUGUUGAAGGGCAAGAAAUUUCAACUUUGACACGCCUAUUUGCACCAUUGACCAAUAGGAAACUGUCUUGACAAUGCUGACCUUUAUUUAACCUCCUCUGUUGCAGUAUGAACUAUCCCACAGAAGAAUUAAAGAAUUGGCACUAUAUAAAUAAAAUUUAAAUUAACUGAAAAGAGAAAUGGCUUUUCUUACUUUUAAGAGGCAGGACUUGAAUGUACAAAUACAUCUUUGCGCCACAGAAGAAUGAAAGAAUUGAAGAAUGAAAGAAUUGGCGCUAUAUAAAUAAAAUUGAA
This is a long non-coding RNA of Micropterus salmoides (largemouth bass), 2266 nucleotides long. RefSeq lists it as uncharacterized. The record is from RefSeq and is a predicted model, not a curated record. Lineage: Eukaryota; Metazoa; Chordata; Actinopteri; Centrarchiformes; Centrarchidae. The transcript has 3 exons.